RNAcentral lists this non-coding RNA (96 nucleotides) under Spiroplasma diminutum. RNAcentral's name for it is "SAM-I sequence". It matches the Rfam family "SAM riboswitch aptamer (S box leader)". From Rfam's summary of the family: The SAM riboswitch is found upstream of a number of genes which code for proteins involved in methionine or cysteine biosynthesis in Gram-positive bacteria. Lineage: Bacteria; Bacillati; Mycoplasmatota; Mollicutes; Entomoplasmatales; Spiroplasmataceae. RNAcentral also lists the same sequence under 1 other name. The record is from RNAcentral.
UUCUUAUGAAGAACUACUGAGAGAAAACAACUCAAUGAAGUGGUAGCAACCUAUUUAAAUUAGGUGCUUAAAUUAAGGGGAAACCAACUAUGAGAU